GAUAGGGGCAGGAGCUCGGAGUGGAACCGCUGGAAGAGGAGACGCGCGGGGCAGUGAUGCCGGGGAGAGGGCCCGGGCGGGUGUCUGUCCCGUCCACGCUUAGUCCCCGCGCCCCGCGGGCACCCAGGGUUGUGAACGGGAGGUGUCCAAGGACCUCGGCACGCCGGCCCCAAUAAUAGGCACGGGGAAGGAGGACUGGUGGACGGGAUGUCCCCAGGAGAGGGGGACUUGCGCCGCCCGAGGCCCCUCACCUCUUGCAGGGCGCGCCGCCUCCGGCCCCGGUCCGGUCGCGCUGUCGCCGGUUCUUGAACCAGUUGCUGACCUGCGUGAGCGAGAGGCCGGUGUCUACAUGCCCCGCAGAGCAGACAGCCCACCUCCUCCCGGCCUUCCGGGGAAGGGGACACAUGAGGGACUCGCCUGUGGCUCCCUCUGCCUGCAGCAAUUCCAUCCGCUCCUGCAACUGCCGUACAUGCGCCUCUAGGUCCCGGUUCCGAGCCUCUGCCUCACGUAGUUGACUGUGGGAAGGUAAGGACGGUGAGUCGGUCCGAGUCGGACGAGUCACACGAGAGGGGCUGCCAAGGGUUGCCAUGGGCCCCGCGCCCCGGCCCCAACCCCGACCUGGCAAAGUUCUGGUUGGCCAAGCGGAUGGCCUCCAUGUCCCGGCUCAGGCUCUGCCGGGUGAGCACCUCUUCCUCCAGGGCCUCCUGGAGCUCCCGCAGCGUCACCUCGGCCUCAGCCUCUGCCACAGGGAUAGCCGCUGGAACUGUCACUUCAGCCUGUGUAUGGGGACCGGGCUGAAGGCUGCCUGUGGCUCCUGGAGGACUCAGAACUUGGGCACUGGUUCCAGGCUAGGGAUCCUUGCUUGUCCCCUACUUCUCCGUCCCCUCAAAAUUUCUGGAAUCCCCACAGCUCCUGCAAUGAUCCAAGCCCCCUCCCUUCCCUACCUCCCUCAGCCCCUUCUCUGAGUCUGGUCCUCUAAAUCCACACAGGGACCAGAGGGCUGGUCCUCAAACACUAACACAACCUAUGUCCCUCUGCUGCUCAAAAUCCCUCCAGCUCCCUAAUGCCCUCAUGACAAAAGGCCUUGCUGGGUUUUGUUUCCUGCUGGCCUCUCCAGCAUUCUCAGGAACGAUUCAGCCAAACAGGAGCAAAUCAGGAUUCCCACCUGCUCAAGGCCUUUGCCCUUGAGGCUCUCGCCUGACCACCUGCCACCUUUCUUUCCAUGGCUGGCUUCUCCUUCAGGAGCGUUCAGCUCAAAGAUCAACUCCUCAGAUCCCCACCAACGCACACAGCCUUACUUAAUGCCCCACUGUAACUAGAGACCGUGUCAUGUCUGAAGUAA
Molecule: long non-coding RNA, 1342 nt
Organism: Piliocolobus tephrosceles (Ugandan red Colobus)
Lineage: Eukaryota; Metazoa; Chordata; Mammalia; Primates; Cercopithecidae
Exons: 2
Source: RefSeq, a predicted model, not a curated record